UUCUCAAUUCCUUUCUCUCUGGGCACUCCAUAAAAUCUCAGUUAAAUACGCGUUUUUCCGACGGCUUAUUACCGACGGUCUAGGAGCCUUUGAUAAUGCGCAGGUGAAUUAAAUUACCGAGGGCUUAGAGGCCCUCGGUAAUGUCUUCGAAGAAUUUUGGCCAAAAUCGACCUAUUCUUCGUCGUCCAAAAACAUUGCCUCCAAAACCCUUCCCCUUUGCUCAUCCAAUACUAAAGUCGUAGCCCUAAUCUUGCUCUCCUCUACCAAAAUUUCAGAAAUUCUCCUCUCCUCUGCCCAAAUUUCAGAAGAAGG
This 312-nucleotide long non-coding RNA is filed under the name Vigna radiata. RNAcentral's name for it is "long non-coding RNA (VRAD_LNC000269)". The record is from RNAcentral. Lineage: Eukaryota; Viridiplantae; Streptophyta; Magnoliopsida; Fabales; Fabaceae.